GUUGGGUGUGGUGGCACAUGUUUGUAAUCCCUGCUAACAGGGAGGCAGAGGCUGGUGAAUUGCUUAAGCUUGGGAGUUCUGAGCUACAGUAAGGCAAAAGUCAGUGAUUUGAUGUCUAUAUUAAGUCCAGCAUCAUCAGUAUGUUGAGAGUGGGCAAGCCACCAGACUGCGUAAGGAGGGAUGAAUUGGCCUAGGUCAGAAACAGGUUAAAGCUUCCAUGCCAGUCAGUGAUGGAAUCAAGCUUUUGAGUGAUAGCUGCAUCUGUAGCCUGAGAGAUUUAGGGAGACUCAGUCUUUA
Vombatus ursinus (common wombat) is the source of this 297-nucleotide unclassified non-coding RNA. It matches the Rfam family "Metazoan signal recognition particle RNA". From Rfam's summary of the family: The signal recognition particle (SRP) is a universally conserved ribonucleoprotein. It is involved in the co-translational targeting of proteins to membranes. The eukaryotic SRP consists of a 300-nucleotide 7S RNA and six proteins: SRPs 72, 68, 54, 19, 14, and 9. The record is from Ensembl. Lineage: Eukaryota; Metazoa; Chordata; Mammalia; Diprotodontia; Vombatidae.